GGAGAGGUGCGAGAGUGGUUGAAUCGGGCGGUCUCGAAAACCGUUGUGCGUUAAUUCGUACCGUGGGUUCGAAUCCCACCCUCUCCG
This is a non-coding RNA of Chlorobium phaeobacteroides BS1, 87 nucleotides long. The record is from Rfam. Lineage: Bacteria; Pseudomonadati; Chlorobiota; Chlorobiia; Chlorobiales; Chlorobiaceae.